This 1923-nucleotide ribosomal RNA is filed under the name Triticum aestivum (bread wheat). RNAcentral describes it as "partial small subunit ribosomal RNA". Lineage: Eukaryota; Viridiplantae; Streptophyta; Magnoliopsida; Poales; Poaceae. The record is from RNAcentral.
GCGGAAACGCGCAGAACUAGACAUCUGCAUGCAUGCCCCCACUCCCGCCUCCUCCUCUAGUUAAGUACCGACGUCGCCCGCCCCCCCGACGACGCCGACGCCGCCACGUCGGUCGGCGGCGACGCCCACGCCCGCGCCCCUCCUCAUCGAGAAGGAGCCGGCCUCGUCCACCGCGACGGCCACGGCCGUGGCACCGGCUGGGCGCCCGCCUCCGCGACGCAACGGGUGCGACGCUGAGCCGGUUGUGGUUCAAGACGAUGAUGUUGUUGAUGAGCGACAGCGUCGGCGCGGUGAAGACGUUCCGGACGUUCGCGAUGACCUGCGCGCCCCCGUGCGAGGCGUUGCAGGGGCAGCCGCCUCCGACGGCGUUCUUGUUCGCGAGGUCCUCGUCGUUGCCUAGUCCCCCGUCCGGCCCGAGGACGCGGCAGCAGCGGAGGAGCUUGCGGCGACGGCCCCCGUAGUGCAGCAGAUGGAGGUACAGCGAGGGCGGCGGCCCGAGGGAGAGGAGCCGCGACCCGGAGGUGCCGGUGCCCUCGUCGAGGGACCGGAGCGACGACGAGCCCUCGCCGCGGAGUCCGCCGCUGGUGGAGCCGGAGAAGGUGCGGUACGUCAGCCAGCAGAGCCUGCGGUGGCGGAUGCUCUACGUGGUCGUCGUGGUCAGGGUCCACCUAGUCGACGACCCCGAGCCGAUGCCGCGGCCGCUGCGGUUGCCGAGCGUCUAGGUGUAGUUCGGGACCGUCGUCGUGGAAGUUCUGCCGCGACCGCCGGAGAAACUGCCGAAGAUGCGCGGCGACGACAGGCCGAGGUAGCACGGCCCUGACCUCCUCGACGUACACUUUCGGCUCCGGUGGCGGCCGCUCGUGGUGGUGGUGGUCGUCUUCUUCCGCUGGCUACCCCUAGUCGUCUCGACCCUAGUUGUAGGCUGCAGCAGCAGAUUGCAGCUCCGAUUGUAGUACCGGAGCCUGCGCGAGUACCGGCGGCGGCGGCGCCGCAGGUACUUGGGCCGCCAGUCGUUGCGACGGUGCCGCGGCUGCAGGAGGGGAGAGUACAUGACCCCGUUGCCCCCGUAGCCGCCGAGCGGACGUCGCACCGGUCUAUACCGGUUGACGCCUAGGAGGUAACGUUGGAAGAAGAUCGGCCGGCAGGUCACUCAGAGCUUGAGAGCUGCCUACCGAUCGAGUGACGCAACCAGCAAUUGAACAGCUAAAAAGAGGAGGUAAAAAGGCCAAUUGAGAAAGGAACUGAUGUUAUUGUACAUUAAACACCCCCCUUUCGAUUCUACUCUCUCUUAUGAGACCCAUCGAUCUCUCCCUCUACUAGAGCCUCCAGUCUUUCGUCAAUCUAGGUUUUUCUGAGUAUCCCAAACAAGAGAAAGCGGCUACCUCUCUACCUGGUCAGGUCAGGUACAAGAACACGCCGCAGCGGAAGUUAGCUAUUAGUUCUUCUGUUCCCGUACGUACGUAUCUAGUUGCGCCUCUUCUCCCUUCUUCGUGCGUUCGUUCACAUUCAGAUCUAGUGAGGACCGAUAUGACGAACUAAACGACGAAGAGGGAGAGGAACCUACAAAACAUAUAUUCCGUAUACCACAUCCACACCCCUCCUAUAUACUCUCGAUCGAUCGUUAUCGUACGUCGUCGUUACCACCACGUUCAUUACUCGGAGAGAGAUAUAUAUCGAAAGAGAGAGUAGAACCGUAAAAUUAAUCACACAAAUUAACCAAUGAGGUUAAACGGUUGAGAGCAAUCUACAUAUUCAAUUAUGAUCAUGAGGAGGGGACCUUCGAAUUAAUCUCUUGAUAAAAACUCAAGAGUUCGUAACCAGUGGAAAAAUUCCCAAAGAAGAAGGAAAGAGAGACAGAGAGAGAAGAUCUCACCUAAAGAAAGUAAAAGAACCCCAAUAGAAAACAAGUUUGAGACAACAUGG